AUGCUCCUGGAGCGGCCGAUAUCUGAUUAGCUAGUUGGUGGGGUAAAGGCCUACCAAGGCAUCGAUCAGUAGCUGGUCUGAGAGGACGACCAGCCACACUGGAACUGAGACACGGUCCAG
This 120-nucleotide ribosomal RNA is filed under the name uncultured bacterium. RNAcentral's name for it is "partial 16S ribosomal RNA". It matches the Rfam family "Bacterial small subunit ribosomal RNA", at positions 215 to 334 of the family's 1533-position model. The record is from RNAcentral.